Molecule: ribosomal RNA, 305 nt
Filed under: uncultured bacterium
Lineage: Bacteria
Description: bacterial SSU rRNA
Rfam family: Bacterial small subunit ribosomal RNA
Source: RNAcentral
CCUACGGGGCGCAGCAGUGGGGAAUAUUGCACAAUGGGGGAAACCCUGAUGCAGCGACGCCGCGUGAGUGAAGAAGUAUUUCGGUAUGUAAAGCUCUAUCAGCAGGAACGAGACAAGACGGUACCUGACUAAGAAGCCCCGGCUAACUACGUGCCAGCAGCCGCGGUAAUACGUAGGUGGCAAGCGUUGUUCGGAAUAACUGGGCGUAAAGGAUGCGUAGGCGGUUAAAAAAGUUUUAUGUUAAAUAUAAAGGCUUAACCUGUAGAAAGCAUAUAAAACUGUUUAACUAGAGUGCAGGAGAGGUA